AUACUCUGUUGAUGAGAAUGUAAAGUGGUACAUUUUGGAAAAACAAUUUGGCAGUUUCUGAAAAAAUUAAGCACAUACUACCACAUGACUCAGCGUUUCACUUCUAGGUAUAGUUCCAAAGAAAUUAAAGCAUAGGUCCAAACAAGGACUUGUACAAAAAUAUUCAUAGUAGUUUUAUUUGUGAUGGCACAAAACUGGAAACAACCCAAUGUCCAUAAAUAGGUUAAGGGAUAAACAAAUCACAGGAAUACUUUUCACAAUUUAAAAGCAAUGAUGCCGGGCACAGUGGCUCAUGCCUGUAAUGCUAGCACUUUGGGAGGCCCAGGCGGGCAGAUCAUUUGAGCCCAGGAGUUGGAGACCAGCCUGGGC
This 369-nucleotide long non-coding RNA is filed under the name Homo sapiens (human). RNAcentral's name for it is "non-protein coding lnc-NPAS4-4:1". Lineage: Eukaryota; Metazoa; Chordata; Mammalia; Primates; Hominidae. The record is from RNAcentral.